Molecule: long non-coding RNA, 637 nt
Filed under: Rattus norvegicus (Norway rat)
Lineage: Eukaryota; Metazoa; Chordata; Mammalia; Rodentia; Muridae
Description: long non-coding RNA NONRATT019703
Source: RNAcentral
GGGGCCUGUUACAGCUGGAGAAAGAAGAAUUCUAGCAAACUGAAUGUGAAUGAGAAUUCAGCAGAGAUGACCACUCAGAAAGAUAAUAUCCAGACGACCCCUUCCUAGGACCAUAAGUCAGUGUGGGACCUUCUGUGAUCCAUGUUUUCUUUAACGGGAAGUUCCUAGCUCUUGAUGCAGUCGUAAAUGGAACCUCAUCUCACAUAACAUCCCAGAGCUUAUGAUGGCUUACCUGCCCUCAGGAGGAGACGGUUGCUGCUGUCUGACAGCUCAGGUGCUGUGAACAAGGUCCUGCCUACCUCUGUAUAAGCAGCACAGAGACAUCUGGCUUUCCUGACCUGCCUGACUUGCCCUCCAAGCCUCUUGUUCCUAAGAAAAAAUGGAUGAAGGGAGGUUUGGGGAUGGAGGUCAAUCUGCUGCCUGCAGGGCUCUGAGACUGACUCAGCCAUGUUGCCCAUGUCUCUCUGUGUGGUUUUCCUUUGUAUCCCUUCGCCUUUCUCUUCAAGGCUCACUUUGGGACUUUCUUGGUGGGUUAGAGCAGCAUCCAUGUCCUCGUGGACUUUCUGAGACCGUCUGUACCAGCCAAGAUAUAAGUCAGGCUGCUCUAACAGAGACUCAAUACAGUGACCACAGCACG